RNAcentral lists this ribosomal RNA (253 nucleotides) under uncultured bacterium. RNAcentral's name for it is "partial 16S ribosomal RNA". It matches the Rfam family "Bacterial small subunit ribosomal RNA", at positions 524 to 776 of the family's 1533-position model. The record is from RNAcentral.
UACGAAGGGGGCUAGCGUUGUUCGGAAUCACUGGGCGUAAAGGGCGCGUAGGCGGCUGUUCAAGUCGGGGGUGAAAGCCUGUGGCUCAACCACAGAAUUGCCUUCGAUACUGGACGGCUUGAGACCGGAAGAGGUCAGUGGAACUGCGAGUGUAGAGGUGAAAUUCGUAGAUAUUCGCAAGAACACCAGUGGCGAAGGCGGCUGACUGGUCCGGUUCUGACGCUGAGGCGCGAAAGCGUGGGGAGCAAACAGG